Molecule: non-coding RNA, 107 nt
Organism: Capsicum annuum
Lineage: Eukaryota; Viridiplantae; Streptophyta; Magnoliopsida; Solanales; Solanaceae
Source: Rfam
AUGCCACGAUGAGGACAUUUUCUUAACAUUGCUUUUAAUCUUUCCCAAGCCUGAUAAUCUGAUCUAGUUUCAGUCUGCAAAAAAUUAGAAAUCUUUUGUCUUAAUUU